UCCGUGUCUGUGCGGCGUUCACGGGUCCGAAUUGAAUUUGAAAAUACCAACAAUUUGGACGUCCGAAACUCAUCAUAUCGACAUAUUAUCGAGUGACAGAUUAAGAAUCUUGAGAGCUUCUCAACUAAUCUCGGUAGCUCUGUCAACAACAUUCAACUAAAACGUGUCUGUGGGGGUUGCCUCGUAUAACCGAGUUAAUUUCUGUGGCGUGAAGAUCGAAAGAAUGCUUUUCAUGGGGGGUUUUAUUUGUGUCCUGGGGAAGAAAUCCCCCUUCACAGCGCUACUUAUCUCCCCAAUUGCAGCUUCAGCCGAUUAUCCUAUUGCUUCGUCGAGCCGCGCAUGUGUCUCAUUAUGAUGUCAUCUGACCAAGAUCGCAAUCUACUCUCUAGGAGGAAACACUGUGUGACACCAAAAUACACAAGUGUCCGACAAGCCGAUGGCGACAGGAUACUAGGGUCACAUGACCCGCCUGAAGCGCCCGAUUGACCGCGGCGAAUGACGGGGUACCUUAUUCUCAACUGUUUGCGUACAAAAAUGCGUCAUUAUCCAUGCUCAUAAUUACUGCCUACCUGUGAAUAAGGCCAACGCAGGGACCAUGUUUUUGUGAGUGAGAAGUGGGCUGUG
Molecule: unclassified non-coding RNA, 624 nt
Filed under: Yarrowia lipolytica
Lineage: Eukaryota; Fungi; Ascomycota; Dipodascomycetes; Dipodascales
Source: RNAcentral